This 1562-nucleotide small RNA is filed under the name Pongo abelii (Sumatran orangutan). Its description in RNAcentral is "retained intron". The record is from RNAcentral. Lineage: Eukaryota; Metazoa; Chordata; Mammalia; Primates; Hominidae.
AACGCCAAGAUGAAGGCUUUCAAGAAAGAGCUGCAGGCCUUCCUGGAGCAGGUGAACCGCAUUGGGGAUGGCCUAUCCCCCUUGCCCCACCUCACAGAGUCCUCUAGCUUCCUCUCCACUGUGACUUCCGUGUCCCGGGACUCCCCCAUCGGGAACCUGGGGAAGGAGCUGGGCCCAGACUUGCAGUCCAGACUGAAAGAGCAGCUGGAGUGGCAGCUCGGGCCGGCCCGAGGGGACGAGCGGGAGAGCCUGCGCCUCCGAGCUGCGCGGGAGCUGCACCGCCGCGCAGAUGGGGACGCCGGGAGCCACGGGCUGGGAGGCCAGACCUGCUUCAGCCUGGAGGUCAGCGUGGGCAAGCAAUCCCCCCGCACCGCCCCCCCCCCCCCCGCUCCUUUUUCUGUGUGGCUGUCUGUGUGACGUUUUCUGUCCCGGAUGAGGCCCUGAGGGAACAUGGCAGGAGAAGGUGGAGCUAGGCGGAACUCACUUGGUAGCAAACCCAUUUUGUGGCACUGGGACAGGCAGGUGUGCGCAGGUGCCUGCGGUGAACUGCUGUGCUUGUCAGACAGAGGGACAGCUCACUGCAGGCGCUGUCCACCUCCUGUUUCCGCAGACUGGGAGCACCUGGAAGUAGGCUGAUUGGUGAGUGCGCAGUGGCUUCUUGUCCAGAGAAAGAAGGGAUGAAAACCCAGCACGGGCUUCCCUGCUCUGGAGGAAACUCCCCUUAGAGUUCCCCUUUUCAGCUCUUUGUUGCCUGUGUCUCGUGUGACCAUCCCGUGGUCUCGAGUGACACUGCUGGCCGGUUGGUAGAAUCAGGGGGGCUCACUCCUGACCUGUGGGCACCCUUAGAAGUCUCUGUCACCACAGUAACCCGGUGUACACAAGGCUCCAGCCACCACAGGGACCAUGGUUGGAACUGUUGUCAGCAGCCUGGAAGAGUGAAAGCUCUUAGACACGGGCCACCCUACCCGGGACAGAAAGAGGGGAUUCUCGAGGAGCUGUUGAAUGAGGAAGCACCUUUUAAAGUCCAAAUGCUGUGUCAGUGUAAAGUAUGAUUAAUAAUAAAGAGAGAAUGCCAUGUCCUGCCAUUGGGGACUGUCAAGGGGGAAAGCAUGUCACAGCUCCCCUAGUCAGGGGCCCGGUUUUCCCUUCCCACUGUAGCUCUUUCUUCUUUGCCAUGGGCUGUUUCUGGAACCACAGCUCUGGCUACACAGGGCGGCCCCCUUCCCUUUGAUGGCUGGUUUUACAGGAACUGCAUCUCCUUUCCCGAGUGUUCCGUCCUUCAAGGUGUGUCACACAUAGCUGUGUGCAGUUAGAGCCUGUGUCAGAGAGCUCUCCUCCUGGAUUCUUCCUAGGUCCUUAUUGUGUAACCUGGAGCAGUGAUAAGUUGUCACCAUCAUGAAUGCAUCACAUAGCUUCAGAAACUGGGAGUGAUUUGGGAGAGAGAAGCAUACUUAGUUGAAGCAAACCAAAUACUGAGGAACAAUAAAGCUUCACAAGAAGUAGAUUAGCAGAGUGAGCUGGUGCCGUUUGGGAGCACAGGAUCUCCAAACAACGCAACUCAG